GAUGAACGCUGGCGGCGUGCCUAAUACAUGCAAGUCGAGCGAACAGAUGAGGAGCUUGCUGCUCUGACGUUAGCGGCGGACGGGUGAGUAACACGUGGAUAACCUACCUAUAAGACUGGGAUAACUUCGGGAAACCGGAGCUAAUACCGGAUAAUAUAUUGAACCGCAUGGUUCAAUAGUGAAAGACGGUUUUGCUGUCACUUAUAGAUGGAUCCGCGCCGCAUUAGCUAGUUGGUAAGGUAACGGCUUACCAAGGCAACGAUGCGUAGCCGACCUGAGAGGGUGAUCGGCCACACUGGAACUGAGACACGGUCCAGACUCCUACGGGAGGCAGCAGUAGGGAAUCUUCCGCAAAGGGCGAAAGCCUGACGGAGCAACGCCGCGUGAGUGAUGAAGGUCUUCGGAUCGUAAAACUCUGUUAUUAGGGAAGAACAAAUGUGUAAGUAACUAUGCACGUCUUGACGGUACCUAAUCAGAAAGCCACGGCUAACUACGUG
Molecule: ribosomal RNA, 497 nt
Filed under: uncultured bacterium
Lineage: Bacteria
Description: partial 16S ribosomal RNA
Rfam family: Bacterial small subunit ribosomal RNA
Source: RNAcentral